GAUGAACGCUGGCGGCGUGCCUAAUACAUGCAAGUCGAGCGAACGGACGAGAAGCUUGCUUCUCUGAUGUUAGCGGCGGACGGGUGAGUAACACGUGGAUAACCUACCUAUAAGACUGGGAUAACUUCGGGAAACCGGAGCUAAUACCGGAUAAUAUUUUGAACCGCAUGGUUCAAAAGUGAAAGACGGUCUUGCUGUCACUUAUAGAUGGAUCCGCGCUGCAUUAGCUAGUUGGUAAGGUAACGGCUUACCAAGGCAACGAUGCAUAGCCGACCUGAGAGGGUGAUCGGCCACACUGGAACUGAGACACGGUCCAGACUCCUACGGGAGGCAGCAGUAGGGAAUCUUCCGCAAUGGGCGAAAGCCUGACGGAGCAACGCCGCGUGAGUGAUGAAGGUCUUCGGAUCGUAAAACUCUGCUAUUAGGGAAGAACAUAUGUGUAGUAACUGUGCACAUCUUGACGGUACCUAAUCAGAAAGCCACGGCUAACUACGUG
Molecule: ribosomal RNA, 496 nt
Filed under: uncultured bacterium
Lineage: Bacteria
Description: partial 16S ribosomal RNA
Rfam family: Bacterial small subunit ribosomal RNA
Source: RNAcentral